GGUGAGAUGGCCGAGUGGCUGAAGGCGCACCCCUGCUAAGGGUGUAUACCUCUUGGGUAUCGAGGGUUCGAAUCCCUCUCUCACCG
This 86-nucleotide transfer RNA is filed under the name Marinobacterium lutimaris. RNAcentral describes it as "Marinobacterium sp. AN9 tRNA". It matches the Rfam family "tRNA". Rfam says of the family: Transfer RNA (tRNA) molecules are approximately 80 nucleotides in length. Their secondary structure includes four short double-helical elements and three loops (D, anti-codon, and T loops). The record is from Rfam by way of RNAcentral. Lineage: Bacteria; Pseudomonadati; Pseudomonadota; Gammaproteobacteria; Oceanospirillales; Oceanospirillaceae.